AACUAUAUACGUUGUCAUUCGUAGACAGCAGGUGCAACUGCGUAAGGGCUCCGGCCCGCCUGCCGAGGAUGAGGCGAGAAAUUUUGAUUUUUCUGCCCUUCCUCUGCGCGAGGAAGGGUUUUUUCUUGCGCGA
Clostridium sp. ATCC 29733 is the source of this 133-nucleotide non-coding RNA. Lineage: Bacteria; Bacillati; Bacillota; Clostridia; Eubacteriales; Clostridiaceae. The record is from Rfam.